GGGAAAUCUUAACAGGUUUCAGACUAAGGGCUGCUUGAGUGGUGAGUGGUAAGUCCUGCAAGUUCUGCUUGGUCACUCAUUUUUCCAGAGAGUUCUAGAAUUCUUAGAAUGCCUUUUGUAUGACUCAGAAAAAUGAGAAUCUUGAGGAAAGUCACUGGGAGAAUGUAGCUGUAAGAAAACCAAAAACACGAAUAACAAUAAGAAAACAAACCCAGAAACCCCUUAAAAGUGCGACCAUGAGACAAGGCAAACGCACCAUGGUGAUGGAGAUACGCAACUCUGGUUUCUAUGGACAUGCACAUUGAAAUGUGUAGACCUGUCCCUUGUUUUCAAGGGCUCUGUUAGAGUUUUUGUUGGGAGGGAGUAGAAACAGGCCCUGCGUCCUUGGGGGAUGGCAGGCAUGUGUCAGGAGGGGGUGCGCAGUGAGGAGUCAGAGCUUCCUACCAAGGCUGAAAGCUGUGCAGUGAGGCCAUUAGGCCGUUUGUGCUGAGAGGCUGUAAGACCCAGCUGCCAUUUUGUCUUUGCAAAACGUGUAUGAAACUAAACACAGAUGAGUAACCUACCAGCCGAGAAAGAGGUAUGGACAAGGUUCUGACCCUUAUUAUUGGAACUCAAAUCCAGAUGGAACUCGUGAAAGCAACAUUCUUGUGUUGGAGUGCAAGUAUGAUUUAAAGUUGUGGGGGAAGACAACCAAAAUAGCAAAAUAACGAAUGCGUAUGUUAAUAUCGUCAAGUGGAAGGUUAAAAUAGCAAGGAUCAAAGAAGAGCAUGGCUCAAUGUGUGACAUUUCUUUCUUGCAACUUAUUGUGUCUUUAUGGAAGCCUUAUUGUCUGCAAAAAAAAAGGGGGUUCAAAGGCAAUUUUUAAAAUGCUCAGUUAAAGGCUGAAGUCAGCCUAGUUUAAAAGGUAAGUGAUCCAUCGAUGAACUAAUAACUACCAACAGCACCUCUUUUAUUCCAAUCUGCAGCUGACAGAGUCUCUUCUUCCUCCUAUUCCACAGCUGUCAGAGCAACUUCAGCCCCAGAGGGUUUCAAUCUCUCAACCGCCGGCUCCCUGGCAACUGGUCCUUUUUUGAAUCCUGCACUUACACCAGUGCAAGGGCCCCUGGAUGUGGGACCUGCUAUUUACCUUCAAUCUUUUCUUUAUGAUUGGGUACCAAUAUGGGUCCUCUAGCCCCAUGCAUUACAACAACAGUCCUGAGUCAGUUAACUUUCAAGCGUUUUUAUUAAAUAACCACUACAUGCUGGAUAUUGUUCUAGAUCCUUCAUCUAUCACCCCAAGAGACAAAAAUGUUGUGUGUCUAGGAGGACCUUACCUAAGCAAACGUCCUGGGUUCCCCUGUUGUUCCUCUUGGCUUUACUUUGAUUGCAGCUGUGGCUGUGGUAGACAGUCCAAGAGGGGGCAGACUCAUCUCUCCCAGGAAGUGCACGGCAGAGAACACCCAGGAUGCCUCUCCACUUUCCCUCUCCAGGGCUCCCCUACUUGUGGGAGACUGAUUGGAAGAGAACGGAUACAAUGACUCCAGUGUCUUAAAUGAACCAGUGAGAGGUGAGAACCGGGAGAUGAACACAGCAGCCUCUCUUCCUGCAGGAACACACUUCCCAGAGGCAUUCUGUACUCUGAUCACAGGAACCCCUACAUCACCAAAUGCCAGUUGUCUUCAGCAGUGACCUCAGUCAUGUCUAUUUCUUUAUUGUGGUGUUUCAUCCUUCUCCAUCUCACUCCUUAUUCCUGGAAUCACUUCCUAGGUAAAUGACAUAUACCCAAUGCUUUAUCUUAGGUUUACUUUCAGGGAAUCCCUAAGACAAACAACAGAAAGAAACCUUGGUAAAUUAUAGGAAAUAAAGAAGGCAUGUAUGCCGUGUGAAAUGUAUGAGCAGAGCAAGGAGAUCAGGAUGUAGACAGCAGAUUGGAACAUGACUGGUUGCCAUUUAAAACAGAAUAGUCAGGAGGUGCCUGAACAGAAAAAUGCAUUGGAACUGAGGAUGGAAAUAUGUGAGUGAAUUAGUCCCAAAGAUGUAUGGAGAAGUGAGCCCUGGGCAGAAGUUUGAGUGGUUGCAGGAGAGAGACUUGGGGAGAGGAGAGGAGGGGGAAGGAGAGUGGUAGGGUGGGCAACACUGGAUUGCAUAGCAUGGCCAGACCGGUGUAAGGACUGUGAGGUGGGAGCGACAGGGGGUUGCAGGCUGUGGGGCAUGCCCCCUAGAGACUGGACUAGUCCAGUGUGCACAUGCCCCUUCUGACCUUCCAACAUCAGCAAGGACAUCGUGGGGUUCCUGUACCUCCCGGUUUGACUUCUGGCUUUCUCGUUCAUUUGUGAAAUGGAAGUGGCACAUCUUAUUCAUUUGCAAGAUGUUAAGGUCAAGAUGACUGGGGAAAAAUGAUUUUUGAACCUUUAUUUUCUGGAUAAGUAAUUAUUUCCAAACUUCUUGUCUCCAGUCUAAGGAAAGUCACCAGAUGGGAGAGCUUAGAUUCCUUUUGUUCUGAAAAGCUCAUUUGAUUGCCAAACUUCUCGCAGACAUUUUGGAGAAUGUACUACUGAUGGGAUGUUGGAUGAUGGCUUCCAGUGGAAAGAGAUGGGAAUGUUUAGUGGGGGUUUUUUUUUGUGUGAUUUUUUAAAAAGAUUUUAUUUAUUUAUUUGAGAAGUAGAGUUACAGACAAUGAGAGGGAGAAACAGAGAGAAAUGUCUUCUGUCUGCUGGUUCACUCUCCAAUGGCCACAAUGGUCGGAGCUGCGCUGAUCCGAAGUCAGGGGCCAGGAGCUUCUUCUGGGUCUCCCACAUGGGUGCAGGGGCCCAAGCACUUGGGCCAUCUUCUACUGCUUUCCCAUGCCAUAGCAGAGAGCUGGAUCAGAAGAGGAGCAGCUGGGACUAGAACUGGCGCCUAUAUGGGAUGCUGGUGCUGCAGGCAGAGGAUCAACCUACUGCACCACAGUGCCAUCCCCAAGGUAUGUUUUAUCUUGGAGACUUCAGAUAAGCUUUCAUGCUUGCUACUUAAUUAUCUAAUGAAGUAUUAGAGCAUGAGUGUGUUCUAGCAUUUUCUUUUUUCACAUACUUUGUUUCUACCUCAACUUUUGACUUAAAUUGACCAGUUAGGGUAGCUACAGGGACUGGCUUGUUGUUUGAUGUGUUUUGGCCUUGACCUUGGCCUUUGUUUUUUAUUGAGGGGUUCCUUUUGACAAAUAUAAAACACCGUCUUUUACUUUUGUGUUAACAAUCAUUCCACAAGCUGAAGUCCUCCCCCCGCCUUCCCUAGAUAUUUGUCUGUCCAUUCUUAGUAAUCUGGACAAAGUCAACCCAGAAUUGUAGCUAUAAAAAAAUUCUGUGAUGCUGGUUAGGAUCUGUGCCUAACAAUGUCACUCCUUUACUUCUUUUUAAAAGAUUGUUAUGCUAGCAAAACACAUUUAUGUGUGUGUACAUUUCAAUAAAAUUUCAGAUGAAAAAUCAUGAUCACACAUUAUACAUUUUUUUUGACAGGCAGAGUUAGUGAGAGAGAGAGACAGAGAGAGAGAGACAGAGAGAAAGGUCUUCCUUUUCUGUUGGUUCACCCCCCCAAUGGCCGCUAAGGCUGGCACACUGUGCUGAUC
Molecule: non-coding RNA, 3580 nt
Organism: Oryctolagus cuniculus (rabbit)
Lineage: Eukaryota; Metazoa; Chordata; Mammalia; Lagomorpha; Leporidae
Source: RefSeq, a predicted model, not a curated record